CUCUAGAGAUUUUGAUUCACUUUGUUUUUCUUAACCAGAGACUGAAAAAUCCCUAAAAGCCAUCACUCAUUUAGAUCCAAAUACCCAGAACUGCAUAAAAUUUCUGCCACCAAACCCCCCAGAUUUAUAAAAGCCAGUAAGCUAUUACUAGAUCACUAAGCUAUUACUCUAUAUUUGUCGUCAGAUCCCUAAAAUCCAUUACUGUGCCAAACCAUUAAGACAUCAAAACUUGUUUUUCUUCACAAUUACCCCUCCAGCUCCCAAAAAGCCAUUAUAGAGCCAAACAAGAAGCCAUCACUUUCCUUUGUUCUUCAUCAUAGCUGAUAAAUCUCUAAGGCUAAGCUCUCCUUAGAGAUCUAGUUGUCUUUUGUCCAGAUCAACAAAUCUCUAAGGCUCAUUUUGUUUGCUCACCAUCCCACACCCCCCUUCAUAUCAGCAAUUGAUCUGAUAUCAACUUCCUCUGCUUGUAGCUCGCACUAGUUUUUGUUGAAGCUCCAGAUAUGCUUCAAUGUAUUUGAUAAAGUUAUACACCUUGAUAAUAUCGAUCAUUUGUCUCUAACAAUUCAAAUAUUACUUGAAAAAAAUAUUCAAUGGAAGGUGCUGAAAGCUCGGAUAAAACAUCUUGGAGUAAAGAGAUGCUGCAUACGUUUUGUGAUAUUUGUAUUGUCAUUAUUGAGAAAGGAAUGAGGCCAAGCACUCAUUUCAAUAAGGCCGGAUGGAAAUUUGUUAUGGCUGUCUUCAAAGAGAAAACUGGUCUUACUUUUACUAAGAUUCAACUAAAAAACAAAUGCGAUGGUGCAAAAAAGGAGUGAAUGAUUUGGAAAAAACUGAUAUCUGAAACAAGAGUAGGAUGGAAUAAUGAACUUGGAACUAUUAGUGCUAGUGAUGAGUGGUGGAAAAAAAAACUCAGGAAAUUAGAGGGUCUAAAAAGUUUAGACAUGCUGGGAUUGAACCUUCACUUUGCAAUAAGUUUGAUAGAAUAUUCAGCAAUGUUGUGGCAACUGGACACUAUGUUUGGGCUCCGUCUUCUGGAGUAUUAUUUGAUGAUGAUACUGUGAAUCAAAACACUCAAGAUGUUCAUGUUAAUGAAGAAGAAAAUCUAGAGGAAGGGAGUGGUGAUUCUGAGGAGGAUGCCAUUCCCAAUUACACAGAUGAUGUUUGUAAUUUAGUUGUUGGAGUUAAUAUGGGAAAUAACAGUACCACAAAUAGCAGUGGAAAGAGAAAAGCAAAAGAGCAAUGUAGUGGGCAAAGUACAAAUAAAAGCAAAAAACCUCAUAGAGUUGGAGCUCAAAUGCUUAAACGUUGGGAUAAACUAGUUGAUGAUGUUUCAAUAAGGAAUGAUAGUAGGGAUAAGAUAGGGUGUAGCAUUAGUGAGGUGAUGAUAGAGAUUCAUUCCAUACCCGACAUUAUUUUUGGUGAUGACUUAUAUUGGUUUGCUACGGAGUACUUGUCUAGGAGGAAUAAAAGAGAGAUGUGGGCAGCAAUAGGAGAUCUUGAUAGGAAGUACCAAUAGUUGCAAAAAAUGUAUCAGUGAAGUCAAAAGCAUUAAAUGAAGGUUUGCAGUAAUAAGAUAUACUUCUAAGGCUGAUGUAUUGAAGCAUGAAGAGUAGUAUUGAUAUUGGUAGAGAACAACUUUUCUUAUUUAUGUUUGCG
Molecule: RNA transcript, 1653 nt
Organism: Populus euphratica (Euphrates poplar)
Lineage: Eukaryota; Viridiplantae; Streptophyta; Magnoliopsida; Malpighiales; Salicaceae
Exons: 5
Source: RefSeq, a predicted model, not a curated record